This 302-nucleotide unclassified non-coding RNA is filed under the name Hevea brasiliensis (rubber tree). The record is from RNAcentral. Lineage: Eukaryota; Viridiplantae; Streptophyta; Magnoliopsida; Malpighiales; Euphorbiaceae.
UCAGAUGUUGCAUGACCUUGCCAAUGACAGUGGACUGAUUUCCAGAAGGAAAAAGAACAUAAUAAUAGGACAUAAGAACAGAGAGAGAAAAAAGAAAAUGGAAAAGAAAAAAGAGGCUGUAGUAGGUGUUGUGAUGAUGUCUUUUAGCAUUGUGUAUUUAUUAGGUUUAAUUUGGUUCUUAAAAUAGAGAAGGAAAAAGAUAGGAUAAGAACAGUUGAUUCAUGGUUUAGUUGCUUAUCCCUUUUCCUCGUUUUCCUAAUAUCUCUCAUCCAUUCUCUUCUUUUCCUCGUACGUAUGAUAGU